This 1282-nucleotide long non-coding RNA is filed under the name Danio rerio (zebrafish). RNAcentral's name for it is "lncRNA (ENSDARG00000117484.1)". The record is from RNAcentral. Lineage: Eukaryota; Metazoa; Chordata; Actinopteri; Cypriniformes; Danionidae.
UGUUGAUCUUGUAUUGCUCUUUCUAAUGUUGUUGUUUCUUGUGGUUCAUGUUUUAUUCUGCUUUGUUUUAUUCAUUUAUUUUUUAAUUAUUUUCAUUAUUUCAUUAUGUUAUAUCAUCAUGUUUUAUCUUAUUAUGUGUGUGUGUGUGUGUGUGUGUGUGUGUGUGUGCGUGCGUGCGUGUGUGCAUCCUCUGGAAUUGUUGUGUUUUGCGAGGCUGAAUGUGAUCAUGCGGUGCGACCGGUUCGACCACUGCUGUUUUUACAUACUCUCUGUGGAAUGACAGUCAUGUUGAGGAGUGUGUGUGUGUGUGUGUGUGUGUAGAUGCCCACAGCUCUCUAUAACAGCAGAUUUCACAAAUAUAUAAAUAAAUCUAGAUCAGUGUUAGAGAUGUUGUGUAAUGACACGCUGCACUCUGUACUGUACAGCAGCGGUGAUGUUUUAAACAGACAUGACAUGGAAAUAUUAUAUUAUAUUAUUAUAGGGCGAAGCAGUGGCGCAGUUGGUAGUGCUGUCGCCUCAUAGCAAGAAGGUCGCUGGUUUGAGUCUCGGCUGGGUCAGCUGGCGUUUCUGUGUGGAGUUUGCAUGUUCUCCCUCUGUUCGCGUGGGUUUCCUCCAGGUGGAAUGGUGAUUCUGUUUAUGGUGCUUGUAUGUUGAUCUGUGUGUGGAGCACGUCGCUCAGCACUCAUGGGAUGCUGUUGAAAUAAAACUGACCUGUGUGUGUGUGUGUGUGUGUGUGUGUGUGUGUGUGUGUGUGUGUGUGUGUGUGUGUGUGUGUGUGUGUGUGUGUGUGUUCCAGUGUAUUCCACAUGCUGGUGGUCCCAGAAUCAGACGUGUCCUCAUGAAGACUGCUCCUCUUCUCCUGCUCCUCUAUGCGGGAGCGUUCGCCAUCAGUUCAGCGUUGCAGAUCAGCGAUGGGUGAGUUACUUUCUGAAAUACAUCUAUUACUGACUGAGUUUCUAUACUUGCUGUCUGAGAAUAUUUUUUACAUUUCAUUGUAUUUUCAUUUCAUUACUCUUCAACCGCUUAAAAUAGACAUGAUGCUCUUUAGAUUCUUUAAAUGCGAGUCAAACAGGGCCUUUGAGCUCUGUUUAAAGAUGAACUCUGUUAUCAUCUCAUGUAGCUCAGUCAUAAUAAUAAUAUUAAUAAUAAUGAUAAUAAUAAUAAUAAUGAUAAUAAUAAUGAUAAUAAUAAUAUUAAUAAUAAUGAUAAUGAUAAUAAUAAUAAUAAUAAUAAUAUUAAUAAUAAUGAUAAUGAUAAUAAUAAUAAUAAUAAUAAUAAUGAU